Molecule: unclassified non-coding RNA, 269 nt
Filed under: uncultured fungus
Lineage: Eukaryota; Fungi
Description: sequence contains ITS1, 5.8S rRNA gene
Rfam family: 5.8S ribosomal RNA (bases 222-269)
Source: RNAcentral
UUUCCGUAGGUGAACCUGCGGAAGGAUCAUUAAAGUGUUUGGGUCCCCUCGGGGGCCCGACAUCCCACCCUCCUGUUGUUACAUGACAAACGUUGCUUCGGCGGACCGGCCGCGUUCCGACGCGGCCGCCGGGUCCCAAGUCGCCUGGAGAGCGUCCGCCGGAGGAAACAAAACACUAGCCUUUUAACGAGUCGUCAGAAUAGAAUUUACAAAUAAUUCAAAACUUUAAACAACGGAUCUCUUGGUUCUGGCAUCGAUGAAGACGCAGC